CCUACGGGCGGCUGCAGUGGGGAAUAUUGGGCAAUGGAGGCAACUCUGACCCAGCAACGCCGCGUGAAUGAUGAAGGUCUUCGGAUUGUAAAGCUCUGUGAUGGGGGAGGAACACAAUGACGGUACCCCAAUAGCAAGCGAAGGCUAACUACGUGCCAGCAUCCGCGGCAAUACGUAGGUGGCAAGCGUUCUCAGGAAUGACUGGGCUUAAAGGGUGCGUAGGUGGUUUCGUUAGUUGGCGGUGUAAUUCCGGGGCUCAACCUCGGCGCUACCGCCAAAACGAUUAGACUAGAGUGCAGGAGAGGUAAGUGGAAUUCCUAGUGUAGCGGUGGAAUGCUUAGAUAUUAG
RNAcentral lists this ribosomal RNA (348 nucleotides) under uncultured bacterium. Its description in RNAcentral is "partial 16S ribosomal RNA". It matches the Rfam family "Bacterial small subunit ribosomal RNA", at positions 338 to 700 of the family's 1533-position model. The record is from RNAcentral.